UUAGUACUUCCGGUUUGGCUUCGGCCGCCCCUCAACUCCUCUCCUUCCCCCCCCUCCGCCUCCUCGUCUCCCUCCCGCUCCUGGGAAAGCGGAUCCGUCGCUUUAAGGGUGGCUGAGAGAAGCGGCGUCUCGGGGAGGGGACCGCGCCCGCCCCCUUGGAACCACGGAGCGUGGCCGAUACAGAUUCCUGAAAUCUGUUGCUUAAAGCUGCAAGACUACCAGUCGUCAAAAGCAUCAGAGUUCUUGAGAAGGAUAAGAUUUUACCUGAAUCAGUGAUUAAAGAAUAACAGAGACUUGCCAGAAGGCUGCAUGGACAGCCAUCCCCAAGGUUCUCCAUCCAUAGUAGCGGGCUGCAGAACAACUGCCUUCUUGCUGAUAGCAUGUGACCUGUGGAUUACAGACUAUAGGAAGACUCUCGCCUGCCAUUGGCUCAAGCAACGCGGGGAAAGUCGAUUCCACUGUCCUCUUGUCCAAGGUCUGGAGUACUUUGUAGCAGUUGAGGUGAAGGGCAGUGUUGCUCAGUGACUAUCGUUGUCACUGACUUGAGAUGAAAUUUCAUCAGUGCCCAUCAGUCUUCUUGGUGGAAGUGGGGUGGAGCCAGCAACUAGCCUAUCUCUCUGUUAUAAAAAGCCUUUUAACAAAACAUUUUUUUAAAGAGUUUAUUUAUUUAUUAUGUAUACAACAUUCUGCUUCCAUGUACAUCUUCCAUGUACACACCAGAAGAGGGCACCAGAUCUUAUAACGGGUGGUUGUGAGCCACCACGUGGUUGCUGGGAAUUGAAUUCAGGACCUCUGGAAGGGCAGUUGGUGCUCUUAACCGCUGAGCCAUCUCUCCAGCUCCCUUAACAAAACAUUUUAAAUGCCAUGUCCUCUAGAUCUCUGAGCACUUGAGGACUGUCUGUCUGUUUAGUAUCUCAGCAGUUAAAAAUUUGCCUUUAGUUAGAGAAGAAUCCCUUUUUCUAAUUAAAAGCUGUACCUCUGUAAAUGGCUUACAGGAUGAACUUGAGUAGUAUAAAUAUUUUGUUAAUUUGAAAUAGACCUUUAUGAUUAUCAUCAUUUAAAGAUACAUGAGUUAAAUUUAAGUUGUAUAGAGUUAGCUUAUAUUUUAAGCUUAUAUUUAAGUUUUUGUUAAAUUAGACCUUUAUUACUUUAAAUGUUUACCAUCAUUUAAAGAUACAUAGCAAUUUAGAAAUAUGAGACUUAGCACAGUUGUAUAUAGAGUUAGAUAAGUACAAAGUUAAAUUACAGGUACAGAGACAAGCAAGACUGUGUUAUUGUUUUGUUUAAAAAGAAGAAAAGAGAAAUUGCUGAGACAUGAGACAUAAGACUAUAAGUUUAUUAUAAAGGCCCGGCAGAAUGGGGAGACUAAGAAGAGGAACAGGGUAAAUGGCUGACCGCCAUGGCCGGUCGCCAUAGAGAGACAGAGCGGGACAGAGAAACAGAGAGACAGAGAAACAGAGAGCGGGACAGGAACAGAGAGACAGAGAAACAGAGAGCGGGACAGGAACAGAGAGACAGAGAGAAACAGAGAGACAGAGAGCGUAAAGGGGCAGGGACUUAUCUUUUAAAGGGGUCCUCUGCACCUGUGUGCAGACUUAGUUCCCAUGGAACCUUGGGCUGACCAGGGUACUGCCUGUUUCACCAGGUAACAGGGGCAGGCCAGCAUAAUGCCUGAACCUUUCAGACUGGGUAACAGUAAAAAGGAGAACCAGAUGUAAUCUCUGAUCCGUACAUUGUAGCAAACUGACAGGAGAUUUAAAGGGACAGGGUAGAGUUAAACAGAGGGCCUUGGAAAGACACAGUAUUCCAUAAACAAGCCAUGAGCAACAGGGCCAGUAAAAGAAGAAAUCACAGACAAAAAAGCAAAAGUCCGGCGGCCAGGUUUACUGGCAAAGGCUGCUGGAAUGGGAGUGCCUACAGGUAAGGUAGGUCACAUGGCCAAGAUGGCAAUGACCAUAAGCCCAUUUUUUGUCUGUUUACCUGCUUGUUGGCUGCAACCAGAAAGGUUCCUCUAUGCAUUUCCCAUGGGUGAGGCAAGUGGAAAAACCGGCAAAAGCUCAUCCUCUCUGGAUGCCUGUCGGCCCGAGGGAAUUGCCAGAGGCCUGGCCCCAAAGGGUACACAGCUAUCUCCAAAACGAAAAGGACCCAGUGCUCCGAAGCAAAACACACCGCUCCCGGAACAGGGUGCUAGACCUGACCUAUGAAAGAUGCACCCAACAAGUGAAAGAAGAAAUCAGAGACAAAAAAUAAAAAGCAAAUUGUCUGGCGGCAGUGCUUGCCUGUGCAAGUCACUGAACUGAGUGGGCAGACCUAAGCUAGGUCACAUGGUCAGGAUGGCAGCCCCCAGGUCAGACCACAUGACCAAGAUGGUGGACCCCGUAAGCACAAUCUCAACUGCCCGAAGAAGUUUUUCUCCAUGAGUGAGGCAGUAAGGUGUACAAAACCAGAAAGAUCCCUUGUGGACCUGAACCAAAAACCUCAAACCUCAUUCGUGUGGAAAAUUUAAAACAAACAAACAAAAAAAACUCUCUGAGUGUCUCAAGCAGACACUGCCAAGAAGAAACACGGUCAGAGAUAGAACAAAAGAUGAGGGACAUUCCCAGGUGAAAGAAAGUUCCC
This 2619-nucleotide long non-coding RNA is filed under the name Cricetulus griseus (Chinese hamster). RNAcentral describes it as "lncRNA (ENSCGRG00015037842.1)". The record is from RNAcentral. Lineage: Eukaryota; Metazoa; Chordata; Mammalia; Rodentia; Cricetidae.